UAGGGAAUAUUCCGCAAUGGGCGAAAGCCUGACGGAGCAACGCCGCGUGAGUGAAGAAGAUCUUCGGAUUGUAAAGCUCUGUCAACAGGGACGAUAAUGACGGUACCGGUAGAGGAAGCCACGGCUAACUCCGUGCCAGCAGCCGCGGUAAUACGGAGGUGGCAGGCGUUACUCGGAUUGAUUGGGUGUAAAGGGUGUGUAGGUGGCGAUGUAAGUCGAAUGUGAAAGCCCUUGGCUUAACCAAGGAACUGCAUUCGAAACUGCAUUGAUUGAGCGACAGAGAGGAAAGUGGAAUUCCACGUGUAGCGGUGAAAUGCGUAGAGAUGUGGAGGAACACCAGUGGCGAAGGCGACUCUCUGGUCUGUAACUGACGCUGAGGAGCGAAAGCGUGGGGAGCGAACA
This 402-nucleotide ribosomal RNA is filed under the name uncultured prokaryote. RNAcentral's name for it is "bacterial SSU rRNA". It matches the Rfam family "Bacterial small subunit ribosomal RNA", at positions 355 to 774 of the family's 1533-position model. The record is from RNAcentral.